Molecule: ribosomal RNA, 2908 nt
Filed under: Pseudoalteromonas sp. M8
Lineage: Bacteria; Pseudomonadati; Pseudomonadota; Gammaproteobacteria; Alteromonadales; Pseudoalteromonadaceae
Description: 23S ribosomal RNA
Rfam family: Bacterial large subunit ribosomal RNA
Source: RNAcentral
GUUGUAUGGUUAAGUGACUAAGCGUACACGGUGGAUGCCUUGGCAGUUGGAGGCGAUGAAGGACGUACUAACUUGCGAUAAGCCUAGUCAAGCCAGUAAGAGGCGCUUGAGGCUAGGAUUUCCGAAUGGGGAAACCCACCUGCUUGCAGGUAUCGUUAACUGAAUACAUAGGUUAACGAGGCGAACGCGGAGAACUGAAACAUCUAAGUACCCGUAGGAAAAGAAAUCAACCGAGAUUCCGAAAGUAGCGGCGAGCGAAAUCGGAGCAGCCCUUAAGCUUUAGUGUAGUUAGUGGAAUAUGCUGGAAAGCAUGACGAAACAGGGUGAUAGUCCCGUACACAAAAACUUAUCUAAAGUGAAAUCGAGUAGGUCGGAGCACGUGAAACUUUGACUGAAUAUGGGGGGACCAUCCUCCAAGGCUAAAUACUCCCAACUGACCGAUAGUGAACCAGUACCGUGAGGGAAAGGCGAAAAGAACCCCUGUGAGGGGAGUGAAAUAGAACCUGAAACCGUGUACGUACAAGCAGUAGGAGCCUACUUGUUGGGUGACUGCGUACCUUUUGUAUAAUGGGUCAGCGACUUAUAUUCUGUAGCGAGGUUAACCAUUUAGGGGAGCCGUAGCGAAAGCGAGUCUUAACUGGGCGCUUAAGUUGCAGGGUAUAGACCCGAAACCCGGUGAUCUAGCCAUGGGCAGGUUGAAGGUUGAGUAACAUCAACUGGAGGACCGAACCCACUAACGUUGAAAAGUUAGGGGAUGACCUGUGGCUAGGAGUGAAAGGCUAAUCAAACCGGGAGAUAGCUGGUUCUCCCCGAAAUCUAUUUAGGUAGAGCCUCGGACGAAUACUUACGGGGGUAGAGCACUGUUAAGGCUAGGGGUCAUCCCGACUUACCAACCCUUUGCAAACUCCGAAUACCGUAAAGUAAUAUCCGGGAGACACACGGCGGGUGCUAACGUCCGUCGUGGAGAGGGAAACAACCCAGACCGUCAGCUAAGGUCCCAAAGUGUAUGUUAAGUGGGAAACGAUGUGGGAAGGCUAAAACAGCUAGGAGGUUGGCUUAGAAGCAGCCACCCUUUAAAGAAAGCGUAAUAGCUCACUAGUCGAGUCGGCCUGCGCGGAAGAUGUAACGGGGCUAAACAUACCACCGAAGCUACGGCUGCGUACGUAAGUAUGCGGGGUAGGGGAGCGUUCUGUAAGUGGCUGAAGGUGUGCCGGGAGGCAUGCUGGACAUAUCAGAAGUGCGAAUGCUGACAUGAGUAACGACAAGAGGAGUGAAAAACUCCUCCGCCGGAAGACCAAGGGUUCCUAUCCCAUGUUAAUCAGGGUAGGGUGAGUCGACCCCUAAGGCGAGGCUGAAGAGCGUAGUCGAUGGGAAACGGGUUAAUAUUCCCGUACUCGGUAUGAAUGCGAUGGGGGACGGAGCAGGCUAGGCAAGCAUGGCGUUGGUUGUCCAUGUGAAAGGCUGUAGGCUGGUGACUUAGGAAAAUCCGGGUUGCCAAGGCUGAGAGUCGAGACGAGCCACUAAGGUGGUGAAGUUGUUGAUGCCCUACUUCCAGGAAAAGCCUCUAAGCUUCAGUUCAUACUGAAUCGUACCCUAAACCGACACAGGUGGUCAGGUAGAGAAUACUAAGGCGCUUGAGAGAACUCGGGUGAAGGAACUAGGCAAAAUUGUACCGUAACUUCGGGAGAAGGUACGCUCUUGUUUGUGAAGGACUUGCUCUGUAAGCAAACGAGAGCCGCAGUGACCAGGUGGCUGGGACUGUUUAUUAAAAACACAGCACUGUGCAAAAUCGUAAGAUGACGUAUACGGUGUGACACCUGCCCGGUGCCGGAAGGUUAAUUGAUGGGGUUAGCUUAGGCGAAGCUCUUGAUCGAAGCCCCGGUAAACGGCGGCCGUAACUAUAACGGUCCUAAGGUAGCGAAAUUCCUUGUCGGGUAAGUUCCGACCUGCACGAAUGGUGUAACCAUGGCCACGCUGUCUCCACCCGAGACUCAGUGAAAUUGAAAUCGCAGUGAAGAUGCUGUGUACCCGCGGCUAGACGGAAAGACCCCGUGAACCUUUACUACAGCUUGGCACUGAACAUUGACCCUACAUGUGUAGGAUAGGUGGGAGGCUUUGAAGCAGAGACGCUAGUUUCUGUGGAGCCGACCUUGAAAUACCACCCUUGUAGUGUUGAUGUUCUAACUUAGGCCCCUGAAUCGGGGUUGAGGACAGUGCCUGGUGGGUAGUUUGACUGGGGCGGUCUCCUCCCAAAGAGUAACGGAGGAGCACGAAGGUUUGCUAAGUACGGUCGGACAUCGUACGGUUAGUGUAAUGGUAGAAGCAAGCUUAACUGCGAGACAGACACGUCGAGCAGGUACGAAAGUAGGUCAUAGUGAUCCGGUGGUUCUGAAUGGAAGGGCCAUCGCUCAACGGAUAAAAGGUACUCCGGGGAUAACAGGCUGAUACCGCCCAAGAGUUCAUAUCGACGGCGGUGUUUGGCACCUCGAUGUCGGCUCAUCACAUCCUGGGGCUGAAGUCGGUCCCAAGGGUAUGGCUGUUCGCCAUUUAAAGUGGUACGCGAGCUGGGUUUAGAACGUCGUGAGACAGUUCGGUCCCUAUCUGCCGUGGGCGUUUGAGAAUUGAGAGGGGCUGCUCCUAGUACGAGAGGACCGGAGUGGACGAACCGCUGGUGUUCGGGUUGUGAUGCCAAUUGCAUUGCCCGGUAGCUACGUUCGGAACUGAUAACCGCUGAAAGCAUCUAAGCGGGAAGCAGGCCUCGAGAUGAGUUCUCACUUUGACUUAGAGUCAACUGAAGGGCCGUUGAAGACUACAACGUUGAUAGGCGAGAUGUGGAAGUGCUGUGAGGCAUUAAGCUAACUCGUACUAAUUACCCGAGAGGCUUAACCAUACAACGCCAAAGUGGUUU